ACGUGCAUGCUUUCCAUAUGCGCGUAUACGUGAGCCGCACAGCGAGUUGCACACAUGUGGUGGUGGUGGCCGUCAGCCGUGUUUUUUGGCAGACAAUGGUCUGUGGCUUGCUGUGUGUUGAGGGGGGAUGGGUGGCGUACUGGGCUAGUUAGAAAGGUACGCCGCUAGCGCCUAUCCACCCGUUAUUCGUAAAAACGGUGUCCAAUUUGGCGUCUACGCCUCACCUAGCUACUGCCUGGACCGUCGGUAGCGAUGAAAGGUGGGGAGAAAGCUCCUCGUUUCGAGUAGAGUAGACUUAAUGAGCCUCAGCUGGGAGGCCGCCAAAACCCCAAACACAACCAGUCUUAUGUUUGAAAGUGUGAUAGAAGAUGCGCUUCAACGAUUGUUUGGAGCAUCUUCAAAUCGAGUUAUAAAUCUUAGCGGUGGAUCACUCGGUUCGUGGAUCGAUGAAGAACGCAGCUAGCUGCGAUAAAUAGUGCGAAUUGCAGACACAUUGAGCACUAAGAAUUCGAACGCACAUUGCGCCAUCGGGUUCAUUCCCGUUGGCACGUCUGGCUGAGGGUCGAAUUAUUGAAAAUUAUCCGCAUUGAGUAGCUGCUUCGCGCUUGUGAAUCGAAGCGUUGCUCGUGUGGUGUAUUCGGCGAGCUAUGGUUGUGUUUCAUCAUAACCAUACCUUGCUUAGGCUAAGCCAUAUUUCUCGCAAUCAUUUGCUCCAUGCGAGGCGAUGAUGGCCGUCAGUGUUGCUCUCAGAUGCGGCUCCGAGCAUGUGUUGCUUGUUGGUGAUAUAAAGGUUGGGGCUGGCAUCGACAGCUAGUGAGAGUGAUGUGAGAUGGUUGUCACUUUGUUUUGACCUCAGCUCAGUCGUG
RNAcentral lists this ribosomal RNA (866 nucleotides) under Raphidascaris acus. Its description in RNAcentral is "eukaryotic LSU rRNA". The stretch from base 412 to 565 matches the Rfam family "5.8S ribosomal RNA". The record is from RNAcentral. Lineage: Eukaryota; Metazoa; Nematoda; Chromadorea; Rhabditida; Raphidascarididae.